GUGGGUGCUACAUGAUUGGAGUGAUGAUGACUGUGUAAAGAUACUGAAAUGCUGCAAGAAGGCUAUUCCAUCCAAAGAAGAAGGGGGGAAGGUGAUUAUUAUUGACAUGGUAGUCGACUUGGAUAUUGGCUUUCCUGAGUUGGGCGAAACACAGCUACUCUUUGACCUAGAGAUGAUGGUCCAAACCACAGGUGAGGAAAGGAAUGAAUGUGAAUGGAAAAAAAUUUUCAUGGAUGCAGGUUUUACCGAUUACAAAAUCAUACCAGCAUUAGGCUUGCGAUCGAUUAUCGAGGUUUAUCAUUGACUACUGAAUAGAUAAGGAAAACCAUCUAUACUAGUGGCCAUGAAUUGAUCAGUUUGCUGCUUCCUUCCAAUUUAAUUUUAGAUCUUCAUUAUGUAUAUUGCAUUGGAUGUCUUAUGGUGUUCUUAUUGUUUGUAGUAGAAUUACUAUGAUGUUUGUAUUGGUCUUCGUUGAGUUUGUGAUUUGUCUGCCGCAUUUAAGUUGAUUGAGCUAAAAUAAUAGAAGGUACUUCUUUAGUUAUCUCUUUACAGAUGUUUGCCAUGCGUUAAUGGUUGAAAUCUUUUUAGAUAAUACUAAUCUGGACUCAUUAUGUCUAAUGAAAAGAAAAAAAGACAGAGUAAAUUACAAAACCCCCCGAGGUUUGUGUUUAUUACAGUUCGACCUGCUUGGUUUCAAAACCGACACUUACCCCCCUUGAAAUAUAAUGGUAUUAUUCAAACUAUUUCAGAAAUAUAAAAUGUCUAAUUUAUCAUUCAUUAUAAAAAAGUAUCCAUCCAAACCCCUGUACUUGCCUUGAACUACUAUGGCUUCAUAUAAGAGCAAAGAGAGGAGGGAGAUAGAGAAAAAGCCGACGAGAGAGAGAGAUGAUCUCUUAUCUUUAAUUCAGAGCUACAGAAAGUUCUUCUGAAAAGAAAAGCUCGUAGAGACACACCAGGCCACAAGAAAGAGAGAGCUUUGAAGGGCGGGUACACUCUCCUUCCCCCUCUUCUCCACUACAAUAAGCUUGGGCUGUAAGGAUAUAGGUUUGAAGGAGCAAAGAGGAAAAUGCGCGAAAAAGUUAGAAAGAGAGAAAGACUUUCAAGUGGAUUAUGAGAUCCCAAAGACCCAACAAUCUAUUUUUCUAUUUUUUUUUUCACUUUUGAUACAUCUUCCUCCCUUUCAAAAUAACCCACCUAACUACAAUGCCUGCUGCACCGAGAACCAGAUUGGCUCCACCCUAUCCACCGGCCAUGCCACCAUCACCAUCACCUCUUCCAGCGCUCACUUUUACAUCUAUGGCAUCAGUGGCCACUGCUCCGUCGGUCAGAAGCUGGCCAUCACCGUUGCCUUAAGAAAGUUAUCGCCAUCGCUGAUGAUAGCAAGGGGGGAAGGUGGCAGAGGAGGGCGCCCAUGAUGCAGACAGAGAAGAGGCUGAUGGUGGGGAAUGGUGAGGUCGCCCAUAAUGGCAGUGAUGGCGAGUGAUGGCGAGGUGGUGGAGGAGGGCACCCAUGACACAGAUGGAGAAGAGGCCGAUAGCAUGGAAGGAGAGGUGGAGAACUGUGAGGUUGCGUUUGAUGGUGGUGGUCCAGGAUAAGUGGGUGUCGACAAUGACAGCAUCGGAAUGGUGGAGGCUGAGGAGGUAGUAGUGGUCGGGGCUAGUGAGAAGAGAAGUGACAUCGAUUAUGUUGCAUUCGGAGGAGAAAGGGCGCUAAUGUUCUUGAUGCUGGGGGGGAGGCCGGAGGCAGCGGGAGAGAAGGGGUAGAGGAGGCUGAGGAGAGGGAGACCGAUAGCAAUGACACGAUCGACGAUGAGCUGUAUGAAGGUGGCAUUGGUUGGGGUGAGGAGGACGGUGGAGUCGACGCUGCUGGUGGUGAAAAGUUGGGCAAUGUUGAUCAAGAGGAUCAUGUGGCCCAUCGCAAAGAAGGGGAUCAUGUCGGCAUAGAUGGCACUGGGCCCGCAGAAGAAAUCAUAGAGGUGGAUGUGGUUGGUGGCAUGCUCGUUCCUCAUCUUGAGCAGGCUGGGCCGAGCGUAAAGGAAAAAGGAAGGGCUGGCGACGGUGCUAAGGGCGGAAAAGAUGGAAAGUGCCGAGGAGGUGAAGAAAGUUGGGAGAAUUUUUUUUUAAUAUUUUGUUCGAUGAUAUUUUGAUCUUUUUAAAAAUCUAUAAUGAUUUGGUAAUGAGAUUCCCAUUAACACUAAUGAACUGUCUAACAGCAUGAGCUAGAUUGUAGGGUUGACUAAAAUAUUAAGGGUAUAACUAUAGGUUUUGAAAACUACUGGGUAUACCUGCAUUUUCGACCUAUUCUCAGGGGGUUUUUGUAAUUUAUUCAAAGACAAAAGACAUCUUAACUAUGAAUUGACAAGUUGAAAUCAAUUAAAUGCAUUUAAUCAUGGGAAACUUAUAAAGGCCCAUGUUAAGAUAAAUGCCACCAACAUCCAACAUCAUUAUUGUAUUCUAUACCAGAAAAUUCAAGCUUUUCCUAGAAUCCUAGAGAUGAGAAGUUGAAAUAUUAUGCACUUCACAUCAAGAGAGAAAAUACAUGCCUUAGAUUGCUUAAAAUAAAUUUAAUAUAUUUGGUUAAAAGAACAUUAUGAAAUAACAUUUAAUAUUUAUAGUAUAAAUAACUAAUUAAUCAAUGGGAUGGUACUCAAAUUACUAUAUAUUUAUUUUAUUAUAAAGAAAUAUAUAUUAAAAAAAGAGGCAAUUCAGUAGAAUUUAUAAAAUAUUGAUUCGAUCCAGAAGAAAAAAGAUUUUUCUCAAUCCGUUCAGCUCGAAUCUCACUAAGAAAAAGAUAGAAGAAGAGAAUUUUUGAAUCUCUAGAUUGCUCAUCCUCCUCACCAGAUGGAGGUUCAUGAUCUUAAAAUAUUGAAGAUAGCUUCGCAAUAAGAGUUGGCACUGCUUUUGCUGAAGGAACCGUCAAUCUGAAAAUAAUCUUGAUGAUUUGGUAAUCUUCAUCUCUAGUUGUGUAAGAUGUCUCUUUAUCUCACCAUCUAUCGAGGAAGAGCUAACAGCCAUACUCAUUUUGAUCUUUCAAUAUACUUGAAGUACGGAUUGCUCUUGUCUUGAUUGCUUAUACUGCUCAUGCAUUCGGACCAUGCACUAAAAGCCGUCAACAGAUAUAGAGGACCAAUGCUCUCAUACCAACUUGAUUAAAUCAAGAAGAAGAAAGAUUUUCUUCAAUUCACUCAACUUAAUCUCACAAAAAAAAAAGAUAGAGGAAAAGAAUCUUCCAAAGUAGGGCUUAACUCUAUUUUCUUUCUUAUUUAUUAUUUUUAUUGAUUAAAAAUGAGGUACAUAUCUCAUAUUUAAAAAAUGAGAUCCGUCCUUAUACAAAUAGGUCAUAUUCUUUUGCUAGUUCUAAUGAGAUUUUUUUACCUAAAAUAUACAUGUUUGGUAGAAAUAAUUUAAAAAAAUUUAAAACUUUUUAAAAGAUAAAUCUCGACUUUUAUAUUAAUGCUACAUUCUGUCAUUUCAUCGAAUUUUUUUUGGAUUUGAAGCUACACUCAAUCAAAAUCUUAACCAAAAGAAAAUUUUUUAGGUUGACUAGCUAGUUUCAUCACCCAAAUGAAGGAAUUUCAGUCUAAUCAUUGAGACGUCACUUUUCUGGUGGGAUGGCACUACAUCAUAGAUCUAAAAAAACUAUCUAAUUAAAAAAAGAAUCAUUGAAAUUGCAUGUCGUAUGUCCAAAUUAAGAUUUUUGAAAGUGUGAGUUAUAAAUUAAUUUUUUAAUAUGAUAGAUUUUAUUUCUAGAUUAUUUAGUUCUAUUUAUAAUAAUUAAAAUAAUUUAUAUCAAAUUUAAUGGUUCUCCCAAAUUAAUUAUAAUAUUAUUGGGCUAUAUGGACAUGGGUGACAGCUGAUGUCGGAGUAGCAUGCCAAAUGACCACUCUUCUUUGGCAAAUUCCGAGGCCUGACACGAAGCUUAAUUACCCAAACCUGGCAAAACCUUUCUUGGCUUGUCAAUCAUCUAUUCUCACUCGUAUCCAAGAGAGGAAUGCGAAGCUACUCCAUUGUUCAGAUCAGCUCACUGAAUUUGAUGUUUGGCAGCUGAACUGUGAUGCUUGUAAUAACAUAACUAUGGUUUUUUUUUUAAAAUUUUAUUUUUUAUUUUUUAAAAUAUUCUUUUUUCGAUCUUAUUUNNNNNNNNNNNNNNNNNNNNNNNNNNNNNNNNNNNNNNNNNNNNNNNNNNNNNNNNNNNNNNNNNNNNNNNNNNNNNNNNNNNNNNNNNNNNNNNNNNNNNNNNNNNNNNNNNNNNNNNNNNNNNNNNNNNNNNNNNNNNNNNNNNNNNNNNNNNNNNNNNNNNNNNNNNNNNNNNNNNNNNNNNNNNNNNNNNNNNNNNNNNNNNNNNNNGUAGUAUAGUAGUAUAUAUAUAUAUAUAUAUAUAUAUAUAUAUAUAUAUAUAUAUAUAUAUUUUUGGCAAACAGAGGGUAGAGGAUGGGGGUGUUUUUAUGUUCAUACCGACGGCCGUCGGGAUCUGGGGAGAGGGGAGCGGAGGUGGUGGUCACAUAGAAAUAGAAGUAGAUGAUGGGUACGGCACGGACAAAGACGAGGUGGGGCUGCGGUGGAUACCUCAUGAGGAGAGAGAGAGGUUGUGGGAUGGGACCGUGGCAGAAUAGGUAUGGAUCCUACGGUAGUCGGUGCAAAGGACAGUGGCAGGGUGGGACCACGAGUGGCGCACUAGAGAGGGGUAGGUGUGGGUCGGCUGCCGGCAGUGGAAGGUCAGUCGGGAGAGAUAAGAGGAAGGAAAAGAAGAAAUGAGGAAAAAAAAGAAAUAAAAAUAAAUAAAAAUAAAAAUAAACUUCAAAAAAAUAAAAAUAGAAAUAAUAAUAAUAAUAAUAAUAUAUUAAUUUUAGAAAAUAAAUUAAAAAAAUUAUUAUAGUUGAUUAUUGAGAAAAUUAAUCUUUAGAAAAUAAUAGAAAUUAAUAUUUUGUUAUUAUUUUCUUAAAAUUAUUUUUUAAAAAUAAUAUUUUGUUAUUAUUUUAAAAAUAAUAAUUAAUAUAAAUAAUUAAAUAAUUAAAAAUAUUUAAAAUAAUUUUUUUGUAAUGAAAAAUAAAAUUUUAAAAUAAUGAUAAAAAUAAAUUUUUAAAAUAAUUUAAAAUUUAGUAAUAAAAAUUUAAAAUAUAUAUAUUUUUUAAAAAUAAUUUGAAAAAAAAUGAGUAGGUGGGUGCGAAGGAGCGACAGUCGGACGGAAGAGUGGUGGGUGGCACCGGAGGAGGGUGGGUGUUCGGCACGAAGCUGCGAGAGGAGAAGAAAGAAAUAAAAAAAUAAAUUUUUAAAAUAAUAAUAAAAUAGCACCACUGCCCCUUUCGGCACCACCACAGCUCCAUGCCGCCACCACUCCUCAGUGCCCCCCCACAUAUUUUUUAAAAUUAUUAUUUUAAAAUAAUAUUUUAUCAUUAUUUUCAAAAUCUAAUUAUUUUCAUUACAAAAAAUAAUUUAUUUUUAAAUAAUUUAUUUUAUUUUAUUUAUCAUUUUAUUUAUUUUUUUAUUUGUUCUAGUUUUUCUUAUUUUUAAGCAUUUUUUUCAAUAUUAUUUUUUAAAAAUAAUAUUUUAUCAUUAUUUUAAAAAUCUAUUUUUAAUUACGAAAAACCUUCUAAUUUUAAAUAUUUUUUAAUAAUUUAUUAUUAUUAUUAUUUAAUAUAUUAUUUUUAUAAUUAUUUUUUAUUAAUAAAUUAUUAAUUUUAAAAAAUAAUUCUUUUAUUUUUAUGCCCUUCCUAUCCUUUCCCUCCGCACGCCACAACCCCCCAAUCCUCGGACCCUAGUCGUCCGCGCCACCCUCUGCACCAACCUUUGGCCCUCCAGUGAACCCGCACCCUGCGCCCUCUGCAGCAUCCUCCAUCGCCACCCUCACCCACCCUAUCGUGAACAUGCAUCCCACCCCCCGUGGCCCCCGAUGCUACCCUUUGGCCACCCACACCACCGCCAGCCGCCCGCUAUCCCCGGCCACCCGCACUGCCUCCCGACCCCUCAAUGUGUACCCAAUGCGGAGGAGAAAGGAAAUUGCUGCUUGGGCUAACGAUUUCAUGAAAUCAUAGGUCCAAUUGGCAAUUUCACUGAAGUCACCAGUCCGUUCGGCGAUUUCAAUGAAAUCAUCGUUCGGCGAUUUCAGUGAAAUUGCUGGCCCAAGUGACGAUUUUUCUUAAAUCGCUGGCCCAAGUGACGAUUUUUCUUAAAUCAUCGGUCCAAGUGGCAAUUUCAUUGAUAUCGCAUGUUCAAUUGGCGAUUUCAAAAUUUGUCCAUCUCAUCUGGCCAGUUGGGCUCGAGAUGGGCUGAGUUGGUCAUAAAUUUCACGAAUGGAUUGUAGUUUUGAAAAUAAAUCAGAAGAGGUGGUAUUUUUGGAAAUAAAUAAUUAAAAAAAUUAAAAAAAAUCCCAUAACUACUGCUGUUGACACUUCCAACCCAUUUUCCCAGUUGACACUCAAUUACACCCGUGACUUGUUUGCUGAACGAAAAACCUUCUCUUGGUAAGUCGUGGAUAAGUUUAAACAAAAGAAAAUAUAAUCACCAAAAUUCUUUUGCACAGUAAACUAAAGAUAACAAAAUUAAAGGAAUCAAAUUAUCUAUUUAUAUUAAAAAUAUAUAUGAGCAUGCCAUUUAACGUUAAUGGUGUUCGAACAAUGCUUAAGAAUGUAUAAGAGAAAAUAUUCUAUUUUUUAUCAAUUUCUCUUAAGCUAAUAAAUUCGUAUCUACAAUUCCUCUUACUAUAAAUCAAAUAUUCUAUCCUCAUUCAAAAUAGCAAAAUAUCAUUUAUUAGUAUAAUUUUAGGUGAUGACGCGAUUUUAACAGUUGCGCUCGAUAUCUCUGUCAGUCCAAUCAAGAUAAAUUUAUUUGAUCAUGAGUAGACUACGAUAAAAAUAGUUCAAUAACGAUCGAAGGUGAUCAAAUUAGUAAUAUUCAACAAAAAUCAAGAUGAAAGUCAGUAUACUAUUCGAUGAUCAGAGGCCAAUUCAUUAAAAUAACUUUAUUUAAUUAUGAGUACGUAGAUAUAAAAAUUUAAUAAGAAGUAAUAAAGAUUAGAUUUUAUGAUGCUUGAUAAAAACUCGAAUAGUGUGGAUAUAUUGCCUGACUAAUAGAGUGAUUUAAUAAAAAUUAUGGAUAAUUAAAACAAAUAAUAUCUGAUCUAAUCAGGAUGGGUACCAGCAUGCUAUCCAACGACCAAAGAUCAGGAUUUCUUAACCAGGGUCGAUAAAAUGCAUUGAGUGAAGAUGAAAAUUCUAUGUGAGAGAAAUAAUUUAGAGUAAAAAAAUUAUAGAAUGAGAAAUUAGAGAGAGAAAGAAAAAAAAAAAAAGAGGGAGAAACUCUCUCCUCUUUUCUUUUCCCUUUCGCUUUUUUUUUCUCUCUUUUUUUUCUUUCUUUUCUUCCCUUUCUUCUUCCCCUUUUCUCGGCAAAACAGGGGACUACCUCUCCCUCCUUCUCGAAUCAAGGGAACCUCUGCCCACGGCGAUGGCUAUGGCCGGAGGACUGGCAAUAGAAGGCCACCAAACGGUGGCCGCCUGCUAGAAGCAAGGUGGCCGAAAAAAGGAAAUCAACAAAAACAAAACCGGCUAUCCUAGGAACAGGGGGAAGCAACAAAACAUUGUAGUUUUCGCUCAACCGAGCGAUUAUAUGGCGAUAUAUCGAUUGAUAAUGGGAGCCAAAGAGCCGAGGGGGGUGGGGAAGCAAGAUAAUCAAGAAUCUCUUAUCUUGGCUCCGGCAAGAUUUUAAGAUGAGAUUGUGAAUCGGCAUGGCAGCACUUGGAAGGAAGAAGAGUAAGAAACUCCGGCUGAUCAACGAUGAUCUUCCAAAGGGCCUUGAGGAAGAAGCCCAAGCCCUAAAUAGAUGGCUGAUUGGAGGAGAAAAGAGGCCAAAAAAAGGCCGACUCCCAUCAUAAUUUGGAGUCGGAGUCGAAGGAGAAAGGAAGACUCCGAUGUUGCUCUUUUGGGCCAUCUCCUAGUGGCUGAUUCUGCUACCUGGGCCGGUCAAAGUAACAAGCCCAAACUUCAUUUGAUCCACUGGGAUGGGUCAUUACAACUUGGCACAAAAACUUACAGUAGUUUGUUGAAGGAAAAUUUCUUUGUGGCCGUGGGCCCAUAUAGAGUGGUAACCGACAUGAAUCUUGCUCGUUGGUGAUGUGGCCUUGGGAUACAUAAGGAAUUCAUACAUAGAUUUUAUCUACCAUAUGUAAUAUAGAUAAAAUUAAUAAAAUAAUAUCAUAUCAAUAUUUUGAAUUAAAAAAUUUUAUAAUUAUCUCAAUAUGUAGGUAAAAUCAAUAAAAUAAUAUCACAUCAAUAUUUUAAAUUAAAAAAUACUGCAAUCAUCUCAAUAGCAAUAUAUAUGUUGCAAGGCAGUUAAGCAGCCAUAUAUUUGGUUGUAAUUUUUUUUAUUUAAAAUAUUAAUAGGAUAUUUUUUAUUAAUUUUAUCUAUAGUAUAUACAGUACAUUAAAUUUAUAUAAAAAUUUCGUAUGAUAUACGAUGUAAUUACUCCAUCACCUUAAACGUUAAUUUCAUUGCAUGAUUGCAUUGGGCUCCACCUGUCUGGAUGCUAUCAGCACGUCACGUAUGACAUGGUGCUGAAAGGGACUCGUGCGCCAUCCAAGGCGCGCACGUCCAAGAACAAAAUAUUUGGAUGCCCCACCUCCUCGCAACACCAGCACGGGCAGCAAGAGUCCGCACGCUUUCUCCGCCCUCGCGAGUCACCACUCGCCACCUAUUUUUCUAAUUUUUUUCUUUUCUUCGUUGUGUUUUGUGAGGGAGAGAACGGUAGCACUCGACCAUUCACCCAGUUGCGGAAGCCCUAGCUGGGGGUCUUCCAAUCAGAGUCGAUCCUAACAUGUUUUAGACCUGAAAUAAAUGAAAAAAAAAUGAGAUCUUCUCUAUUAAAAAUUAACAUACUUUAAAUAUUAAUUAUCAUUAAAAAAUUAAUCUACAUGCAAUAAUUUACUAUAGAUAUAUUCGUUAAGCAGCAUGUAAAACUCAUCAUUAAUCUAUAUAAUUAUUGUUCUUGUUAUAAUAUUGUAGAAAACCAUCCUUACACCCAAUUGGAACAUCAAUGCAAGGCCUGGGGCCUGGGGCGGUCUCUCAGUUCGACCUACCCCAAGGCCAGCCCUGCUUCCAGUAGGGUCCGUCCAAUCAAAGGUCUUGUCGGAAACUAUGAUCCAUAGUAAUAGUAAAUUAGUAGAGAAGAAAACAACACUUAGAACAAAAUAUUUGGUUGGCCCGCUUCCACACAACACCAGCACGAGUAGCACGAGUCCACACCCUUUCCCAGCCCUCGCGAGACACCGUUCACCACCUACUUUGCUAUUUUUUUUUCUUUUCUUGGUUGUGUUUUGGGAGGGAGAGAACUGUAGCACUUGACCAUUCACCCAGUUGCGGUAGCCCGAGGGGGCUUCCAACGGGGUCCGUCCAAUCCAAGGUCCUGUAGGCAACUAUAAAUCCAUAGCAAAUUAGUAGAGAAGAAAACUACAGUGAUGACACAGGUGGGUCCCGAAUACGUACGAUCCCCAUCUGCACAUGCCAUGCGUGACGUACGUGCUGAAAGCACUUGCAGGUAGGUGGAGCCCUGUACAGUUAUGCAAUAAUAAAACUAAUGUUAGAAGAUGGUCUGAGAAGAAGUUUUCGUCCCAUUUCCAUAAUAAGUAGGCAAAAUCAUUUCCAACUCUUAAAAAUUGCAUCCAAUUUAAUUAAAUACUAACAAACUGAUGUUAAGAUGCCCGUACAAUAUGUUCUAGGGAACAACAUCAUACCGUAUGGAUGAAAUAAAUUGGUGAGAUCCAUCGAAUUAGUGUUAUACAUAAAAGUUAUCAGGCAAAGAUGCAGAUUUUAUCCGCUUCAAAAUCAUACCGGCAUUAGGUUUGCGAUGAGUUAUCGAGGCUUAUCAUUGACCAGUGGAUAAAUAAGUGAAAUCAUCUACUAGCUAGUGGCCAUGAAUUGGUCACUUUCCUGCUUCUUAAUUUCAAAUUUAAUCUUAGCCCUUUAUUAUGUAACACAUCAGAUGUCCUAAUAUUCUCAUCGAUUGUUUGUAGUGAAAUUAUUAUGAUGUCUGUAGCGAUCUUUGUUGAGUUUGUAAUUUAUUUACCACGUUAGGUUGGUUGGUUUUCUCAAAAUAAAAAUAAUAAUAAAAUAUUUUUUUAUAAAAAUAAAAAAAAUUAUUUCUUCACUUGUCUCGAGAGAUAGUUUGGUACACUAUGCAUCGGGAGUUGAAACGUAUUAGUUUGAUCGAAAUAUGUGUAAUAAAAAAAAUAUUUUAACUAUAAAAUUAUUUGUUAAAAUCAAUCAUACGUGUUCAAUACAAAAAAAUUUAUAGAGAUCCGCAUCAAAAAAAAGAUGCCACUGACAUCCAACAUGUUCAGUCUAUUCUCUAUCAGAAAAAUUCAAUUUUUUUCUAAAAUCUUAUGAAUGAUAAGUUAUGGUGAUAGGACAGCUAAUAUUGACAUAGCAUGCAAAACGAUAAAUUGUUGCGAAAGUCAUAAAAUUAUUGUACGUGAUACAUGAAAGUGAUGCAGAAAGAUGCCGAAGCCUCAACCGCUGACGUCAGCAGCAAGAAGGAGCAAUCCAAGCGGACGUUCGGACUAGUGACUUAGACAGCUACAUUUUGGUAGCUUUUGCGGGAGUAAUUUUCAUAAAAAAAAUAAAUCAGUGUCACAUGGAAAAUAAGAGUACGGUUUGCCAGCAACAUGGUUCAUGGCCAAGUAUUUUUUAAGAUUAUAUGGAUAAUAAAAUGGGUGAUUUUAGAAUUUUCAUGUUUUGACCUUUUGUCUUACUUCUUUUCUUAAUAUAAUGAUUUAUUUUUAAAAAAAAGAAAAAAUUUAAUAUUCUUCUUCUUUUAUCAUCUAACUUGAACAAAAAUACUAAAAUGAUUCAAGGAGGCUGUCCCUUCCAACCAAAAGGGAGAACAGAUGAUUAUUAUUAAUAUGGUAGUCAACGUUAAUAUUGGCUGUUCCGAGUUUGCCAAAACACAGUUUUUCUUGGAUACGUACAUGAUGGUCUGUACCAUAGGGAAGUGAAUGAAUGAAUGCGAAUGAAGAAAAAUUUUCACUCAUGCAGGUUUCAGCAGCAAUAAAAUCAUACCAACAUUAGACUUGCAAUUAGUUAUUGUGGCUUAUUGUUGACUAGUGGAUAGAGAACAAUAAGUCCACACCACAAGAAAGCAAAGGUAUGCGAAUGGAGAAUAAUUUUCACUAAUGCAAGUUUUACCAACUACAAAAUUAUACCGGCAUUAGGCUUGCGAUUGGUUAUCGAGGCUUAUCAUUGACCAGUGGAUAGAUAAGGGAAGCCAUCUACUAGUACCAUGAAUUGAUUUUUUUACUUCUUCCUUCAAGUUUAAUCUUAGAUCUUCAUUACGCAACACAUCAGAUGUCCUAUAGUGUUCUUAUUGGUUGCUUUUAGUAGAAUUACUGUGAUGUUUGUAUUGGUCUUUGUUGCGGCCAAUCGCCUCGUCAUCCGAUCACCGGAAAACGUGCACCUGCAAAAACGAGAAGUCCACACUGACCGGAGGCGGCUCCGGUGGGGACUCUCCGACGGUCAAGUUAGAGAGGUGACUGGGCAACAGUGAAAUAAAGACAGAGAGCUCGAUUGAAGGAGAGAGAGGGAGAGAGGAGCGAGCAUGUGAUUUUGGAGUCGAGAAGUGGGGGGAGCGGAUCGGAUCCCUUGCACUGUUGCCUUCCCCGAUUUAUAUAGUGGAGCACGGUAUGGCGCCGUCAUUAAUGACGCAGAUAAGUGAGGAAUUGUCAACUCACUGUAGAUUGUCAGAGUCGCCGUGAAAGUGUCAUGUCGCCGUGGGGCUGUCAAAUCAAUAGGGUUGACAAUGUCCUCGGCGGGACAAUACCCCUAGGUGGCCGUGCCGCAUGUUGCUGUCAGGACUGACAGGGUCUGACGGCUGUACGGUGAUCAGAGGAGUCGACCGACCCUAGGUCGGUAACCAGCUGAGUGACAUCGGGCUCCUCCGUUGGUCGGCGAGUUUUAUGUGAGUAGGCCAUCAGACCUUCCGGUUCAGUCGGUCGAAAAAGGUACGCCCGAUAUAUCCUCAGUCGGUCGUGAGCCGAUGAUUGGCCGGCGAUGGCGUCAGUCGGCCGGUCCGACUGUCAAUCGGUCGGUCGGUCCCUCCGGCUGUAAGUCGGUCGGUCGGUUCCUCCGGCCAUCGGUCGGUCGGUCGGUGGGUAUUCCCCAACAGUCUUCAUUGAGUUUGUGAUGUGUUUGUCAUGUUAAGUUAGUUGGCUUUCUCAAAACUAAAAGAAUAAAAAGACUACUUCACUUGCCUCUUUAGAGAUAAUUUGCAAUGUACCAAGAGUUUGAAUCCUUUUAGACAAUGUUAAUCUGGUCGAAUUAUGUGUAACAAAAAAAAUAUAUAUAUAUUUUAACUGUGAAAUGAUAGAUUGAAAUCAAUAACACGUGUUUCAAUAUGAGAAACUUACAGAGACCUACGGUGAGAAUAAUGCCAAUGACGUCCAACCUCUUUAUUCUAUUCCCUAUCAGAAAAAUUCAAACUUUUCCUAGAACCCUAUAAAUGAUAAGUUGAAAUACUAUGUACUUCACAUUAAAAAAAAAAAAUACAAGCCUUUUAUUAUCUAAAGUAAAUUCAUUAAUAUAUUUAGUUAAAUAAGUAUUAUAAGAUAUCAUUUGAUAUUAAUAAUACAAUUAAAUAACUAAUUAAUCAACGGGAUCCUACUCAAAUUACUACAUAUUUAUUUUAUUAUAAGUAAUAUAUAUUUUAUGUAAAAGAAAAGAAUAAUUCAUCAGAAUUUGUAAAUUAUAUUUUCAUAGAGCUCUGUGGUGAUAGGGACGGCUUAUGUUGACUUAGGAUGCAAAAUGACAAAUCUAGAAAAGUCUCUUUAGCUAAAUCCGAGAACGCAGGUCGCUGGGAUGUCGGCAAAAUGAAAUUAACGUUUCAUUGCAUAAUAAGUGGGUAAAAUCGUUGGCGACAAAGUGAUUACUAAGGUGCCCAAUCAAUACAUUGCAUAGAAAUACAUCUUGUCAUGGGUGUCCACUUCGUGAUGCCCACGGGUGAAAUGCUGGACCACCUUUUCCUUCAAUGGGACUUCUCAAAAGCAUUCUGGACAAAUAGUCUAUUCAAUUUCAAUGUCCCAACAUUUCUUACCUCAUUCUCUGGAUUAUGGGAUUUUUAGAGACAUCUUCAACCCAUUGAAAACUGUCAACCGGCAUUUGAAUUCUUAAUUACCUCAGCUGUCUGGUGCCUCUGGAAAAAACGAAACGGCAAGAUCUUACGUUUUGAAGCAACCAUGCCCCCCGGAAUGGCAAGACAAACAAUCCUCAAUUUCCAAAAUUGGGUUCCGGCCGAUUGUCUCCCACCCAAACAGCUAGCAAUUGGUUGCCUAACUUCCCUAAGAAAGGCAGCUGCUAGACUCGCAAUCUUAUUGUGUUUGAAGGUUGUCUUCGAAACCUCAUCCUGCAGCUGCUAGACUCCACCUUUAGUGUUUUGUACCACUCCCCGCUCACGGGCCCGCUCUUUCUCUGAUUUGACACCCCCAUACAAAGCCGGGUUUCUAAUACCCGUAACUCAUUUCUUCCUCGCAUGUGACUGGAUGCUACAUCCGGUCUGUCACAUCAUGUACUAAGUAAAAAGAACAUAGCACAAUAAAAUAAAUCCUUGAGGGAAGUCCCUUGCUUCCUCCUGAAUUCUCAAAAAAAAAAAAAAAAAAAACAUCUUGUCAUGGAGACCGGAGGAAUUGGUGAAAGUCAUGGAAUUAUUAUACGUGAUACAUGAAAGUCAUGCAGAAGAAUACUGUAGCUUUAACCGCUGACCUCAGCAGCAAGAAGGAGCAACCCAAAUGGCCGUUCGGCCUCUAAUUCCACCACCAUGGAUGUGCAAUCUUGGGGUAUCGGCAGCUCCGUGAGCUCGGCUGUAUCUACUUCUCGGCUUGUGUUUUGGAUACCCUCAUCUUGCCCCAUGGUGAAAAUUAAUUUUGAUUCUUCCUUGUCCUCCAUAGCUACUGGCCUUGGCUACCUCAUUAGAGAUCACCACGGAAGUGAUAUAUUUGCUGGGUCUUCCCGAUCUUAUGCAACCUCUGCUUUAGAGGCUGAGCUGCAGGCGGCAUGGAGAAGCCUCUCAAUUUCUACUCACCAGCUUGGAUUCAAACGUAUCUGUUUGGAUGGGGAUUCUUUUGUUGUUGUUCAGUGGAUUCAUCAGGUUGCUAGAACUGAAUAUUCCUUGGCUCCCCUUCACCUGGUUCAUUCUCUUCUCCUGGACAUCUAGAACAGUAUAUCCUCCUUAGAUUAUUUCUCUGUUUCCCAUGUGCCGCGGGAAGGUAAUCAACAGGCGGAUGGGUUAGCUCAGCUGCUUGUUAAUUCAUCCUUCUGUUCUACUUCAUCUCUCUCUCCCUCCGUUUGUAAUCUUGUUCAGGCUGACAUGUUGGUGUGCAUUACCCUCAGCUGUAAUAUCAUCUAUUUUCUUUGUUUGGACUUUUGCCCCCUAUGUAAAAAAAUAAAAAACAGAGAGAGAGAAAGAGAGAGAGAGAAGAAGAAGGAGGAGGAAGACGUUCCGCCAACUGAUUUAGAUCGCUACAUAUUGGUAGCUUUUUUGCGGGAGUAACUUUCAUAAAAAAUACAAAUCGCUGUCAUAUGGAAAACAAGAGUACGGUUUGCCGGCAUCAUGGUUCAUGGCCACGUAUUUUCCUAGACGAUGUGGAUAAUAAAAUGGGUGGCUUUAAGGUUUCCACGUUGUUCUAAUCUUAUCAUCUAACUUGUAACAAGUGCCGCUAAAAUUCGAAAACUUUAGCGAGUAAAGACCUAUUUAUAUUAGGAGCAAAAUAGCAAUUAGCAUUCCAUAAGAGACUCAGGGCCUGGAAAAUUAAAGAGUGCAUGCGUGAUGGAAUCCUUGGACGGAGAAUGCCAAUCUUUGGAGCUCCUGAAAGCUCAAGCCCAUGCAUGGAACCACAUAUUUAGCUUCAUAAAGUCCAUGUCCCUCAAGUGUGCCGUGGAGCUCGGCAUAGCAGACAUCAUCCAUACCCAUGACAAGCCAAUCUCCCUCACUGAACUAGCCGCUAAACUAUCCAUUCCCCCCACCAAAAACAACGACCUGCGCCGCCUCAUGCGCCUCUUGGUGUUCUCGGGAUUCUUCGCUCGGAAGCGUGAUGGAAACAGUCACGACCACGACGAAGAGUUGUACAUCCCCACCACCAUGUCUGCUCUCCUUGUCAAGGAGAACGAUGCGAACGUCUCCUCCUUCGUUCUCGCAAUUCUCGACCAAACGUUGUUCAACCCAUGGUAUCACCUCAGUAGUUGGUUCAAGCAAGAUAAGGUACCCGCCACUCCCUUUGAGGUAGCACAUGGAAGGGAUGUUUGGGAGGCCAUCAGCCGAAGCCCGGCCUUCAACAGCUUGUGCUACGAGGCGAUGGCAAGCGACUCUCGGUUCGUGGCCAAACUGGUUGUCGAGGAGUGCGGCGAGGUCUUCCGAGGCCUGAGGUCGCUGGUGGAUGUCGGUGGGGGAAAAGGCACGAUGGCCCGCGCCAUCGCGGUGGCCUAUCCACAGGUGAAGUGCACCGUCCUUGACCUGCCUCACGUGGUAGCAAGCCCGGAAGCGAGCGAGGAGGUCCAGCUUGUCGCGGGAGACAUGUUUCAGUAUGUCCCUCCUGCGGAUGCAGUGCUGCUCAAGGUAUACUCCUGGUCUAGUACUUAGUUGUGACUUGAUGGAUAGUAGCUUAGGUGAAGAUUCGGAUGGAGGAUUGAAGGGCCGUAACUUUUAUACAGCUGCCACACCAUAUGUUUAAAAUAAAAAUAAAAAAAGCAACCUAAAACAAUUUUAAACCACUUAUUGUUAUUAAAGAUCUGAAUUUUGGUAUAAUCUGCUUGCAAGCAUGAAUGUUCCCUCUAUUUAUCACAUUUGGAUUUUAUUCUUAGAUGGCCUUUAGAGACUCAAAUGGAAUUCACCACAAUGAUACAACAUCAUCAAUGAUCCAAAUCUUAGGGUGAUUUGAUUCCAACUAAUUUAAAAUCACAAUAUUUGGUAGGCCACAUUCAGUGAUUAAAGAUUUCCAUGUAUCCAUAAGUAACCUGUUUGUGAUUCUAUAAAAAAUCCAAGAUUGCUAGCCAUUUAAUACCAAAAUUAUUCUUGAUAUAUUUCAUAAAAAAUAUAUUUAUUAAUCGAUUCUAUAAAUUAUUAAUCCUCCAAAGAUAUAUCAAUUUUUAUUUAGAAUUAAUAUUUUUAUUGAUGCUCAUAAUUAUAUUAUUUUUAAUACUAAUAAUUAUUUUGAUUUGAAGAAAUAAUAUGUCAUAUAAUUUCAUUAAAAAAUAUAAAGUACAAUAAUAUUUUUCUACCAUAAUUUAAAAUUAUCGUUGAAUAAUAUGAUUAACAAUAUAUUACGACAAUUACAAUCAUGUAGGAUCAUUAUGGUAUAACCAAAAAUAGUGAUCUAAUCAUCUCUGCCUUUAUCAUCCUUGAUCUUGGGAUGAUCAUCCCAUACCAAAGCUCCCUUAAUGGUUUUCGACAAAAUUUAAUUCAAUCAACAACCUUAUCAGGGCCUUGGAUCUCUAAUAUAAAAUUAUUUCCAGCAUCAGUUUUUGUGUUCAAGAAAUUUGGACCUUAAUUAAGCUAAUUAAGCUUUUUCAGAAAAUUUCAAGUCUCAUAAUCAAUCUGCUAAUAGUGAUUAAAAAACAAUAGAGAACUAAUUGCAUGCUAAAUCAUGACUUGUAUCAUUACCCCAACUAGCAAGUGCUCUAGAUUUAUGCCAGAUAAGACACCAAAGCUUAAUUACCCAAAGAUAGCAGAUUUUUUUUUUGGCUCGUCGAUUGCCAUCCCCGCUAGUAUAUAAGACGUGAAGCUGAUCCGUUGAUCAGAUCUGUGCACCCACUUGGAUGUUGGGCAGCUAGGCUGUGUCUUUGAAANNNNNNNNNNNNNNNNNNNNNNNNNNNNNNNNNNNNNNNNNNNNNNNNNNNNNNNNNNNNNNNNNNNNNNNNNNNNNNNNNNNNNNNNNNNNNNNNNNNNNNNNNNNNNNNNNNNNNNNNNNNNNNNNNNNNNNNNNNNNNNNNNNNNNNNNNNNNNNNNNNNNNNNNNNNNNNNNNNNNNNNNNNNNNNNNNNNNNNNNNNNNNNNNNNNNNNNNNNNNNNNNNNNNNNNNNNNNNNNNNNNNNNNNNNNNNNNNNNNNNNNNNNNNNNNNNNNNNNNNNNNNNNNNNNNNNNNNNNNNNNNNNNNNNNNNNNNNNNNNNNNNNNNNNNNNNNNNNNNNNNNNNNNNNNNNNNNNNNNNNNNNNNNNNNNNNNNNNNNNNNNNNNNNNNNNNNNNNNNNNNNNNNNNNNNNNNNNNNNNNNNNNNNNNNNNNNNNNNNNNNNNNNNNNNNNNNNNNNNNNNNNNNNNNNNNNNNNNNNNNNNNNNNNNNNNNAUAUGUUUGAUAACUUCUUAUGGUCAUUGUUUGUAGUGGGUGCUACAUGAUUGGAGUGAUGACGACUGUGUAAAGAUACUAAAACGCUGCAAGGAGGCUAUUCCAUCCAAAGAAGAAGGGGGGAAGGUGAUUAUUAUUGACAUGGUAGUCGACUUGGAUAUUGGCUUUCCUGAGUUGGGCGAAACACAGCUACUCUUUGACCUAGAGAUGAUGGUCCAGACCACAGGUAAGGAAAGGAAUGAAUGUGAAUGGAAAAAAAUUUUCAUGGAUGCAGGUUUUACCGACUACAAAAUCAUACCAGCAUUAGGUUUGCGAUCGAUUAUCGAGGUUUAUCAUUGACUACUGAAUAGAUAAGGAAAACCAUCUAUACUGGUGGCCAUGAAUUGAUCAGUUUGCUGCUUCCUU
Molecule: long non-coding RNA, 17712 nt
Filed under: Elaeis guineensis (African oil palm)
Lineage: Eukaryota; Viridiplantae; Streptophyta; Magnoliopsida; Arecales; Arecaceae
Description: long non-coding RNA (EGUI_LNC011324)
Source: RNAcentral